GUUUACAUCAUUACCCACCAAGUCCCUCUCAGCGACACCUAACCGGCGUUGCUCUCCUCUGAUCUUAGCAACCAACAUUGCUUCCUCUGAUCUCCUCAUCAGAGUCUCCGACCAACGCUCCCCUGGUCUUGCCAUUCCUCUCCCACUUGGAUCUUGAAACUUCCCCACAUACUCAUGAUGCAAAAAGGGCUCUCUCUCCCUCAUUGCAUCCUCUGAGAAGUAUUGGCCAUCAUAUAUCAAUUUAUUCAGAUAUGCCCGUCUCCU
RNAcentral lists this unclassified non-coding RNA (264 nucleotides) under Hevea brasiliensis (rubber tree). The record is from RNAcentral. Lineage: Eukaryota; Viridiplantae; Streptophyta; Magnoliopsida; Malpighiales; Euphorbiaceae.